GUCCAGACUCCUACGGGAGGCAGCAGUGGGGAAUAUUGCACAAUGGGGGAAACCCUGAUGCAGCGACGCCGCGUGAGCGAUGAAGUAUCUCGGUAUGUAAAGCUCUAUCAGCAGGGAAGAAAGUGACAGUACCUGACUAAGAAGCCCCGGCUAACUACGUGCCAGCAGCCGCGGUAAUACGUAGGGGGCAAGCGUUAUCCGGAUUCACUGGGCGUAAAGGGAGCGCAGGCGGCACGGCAAGUCUGGUGUGAAAACCCGGGGCUCAACCCUGGGACUGCUCUGGAAACUGUAAAGCUGGAGUGCGGGAGGGGCAGGCGGAAUUCCUGGUGUAGCGGUGAAAUGCGUAGAUAUCAGGAGGAACACCGGCGGCGAAGGCGGCCUGCUGGACCGUAACUGACGUUGAGGCUCGAAAGCGUGGGGAGCAAACAGGAUUAGAUACCCCGGUAC
Molecule: ribosomal RNA, 447 nt
Filed under: uncultured bacterium
Lineage: Bacteria
Description: partial 16S ribosomal RNA
Rfam family: Bacterial small subunit ribosomal RNA
Source: RNAcentral